GCCUUGGUGUCACCUUGAUUUUGGACUUCUAGCCUCCAGGGCUGUGAGACAAUCAAUUUCUGGUGUUUUAAGCCACC
Non-coding RNA from Eptesicus fuscus (big brown bat), 77 nucleotides. The record is from RefSeq and is marked provisional. Lineage: Eukaryota; Metazoa; Chordata; Mammalia; Chiroptera; Vespertilionidae.